This 3453-nucleotide long non-coding RNA is filed under the name Coffea arabica (coffee). RNAcentral's name for it is "long non-coding RNA (CARA_LNC001382)". Lineage: Eukaryota; Viridiplantae; Streptophyta; Magnoliopsida; Gentianales; Rubiaceae. The record is from RNAcentral.
AUUAUAAUUAUAAAAUGACCAUUAUGGAUAUAGGUUUUAUAGAAUUUACAAUAUACCAUUCUUUAUAAUAAAAUCCUAUAAUGACAAAAAAGUAAUAACAUAAUUAUAAAAAACACUAAAAAGAAAAAAUGUCUACAAAAAAAAGGAAGAAAUGACUUUCUUCCUUCUCUGUGCGACUUUCUUCUCCGUUCGAAGAAAGCCUAGCAAAAAAAUUCACUUUACCAGCCGGCAGCCACUGACUCUGACUGAUUUAGAUCUACACCCUCACUCCGUUCGUCGCCGACGCCGUUGCUCGCCGCAUCUGUGAGACUCCAUCGCCAUCGCCAUCGCCAUCGCCUUAACAAGUCCCAAGUCCCAAGUCCCAAAUCGAAGCUGCUCUCUGCCUCUCCGGCCUCCGCCAGUCCGCCGCGCUCUACGUCUCCUGUCGGCUGUGUCCUGCCGUGCUGGUUCAUCGCUGCCGAGUGUCGAAGACGAAGCACCAAGAUCUCACUAGUUCAUCGCUGGUUCAUCACUGCUCAUCUCUGGCUCACUUAGGUAAGUGCUCCUCUGUUUUUGGCUCUGUGUCUCUGGCAUUAAAAUGGGCCAAGAUCGACUAGGAAACUUGUUAUCCUGAAUUGAUAAGGGGGCGAAAUCUCUCAGAGACCCAGAGAUUUCAAUCCAUCUGCCAUUAUCCUAUUACUCUCGGCCAAAAAAAAUAAAAAAAUAAAAAAAAGAACCGACGGGAAACAGAGGAGGAGCAGCCGCCACUGCUGGGUCGUCGGAGUUUGCCCAUACCGCCACGGUUAUCCAAUUCUUCAUUUAAAACGCCCCGUGAGCUAUUCUUUGCUUUCCAACUUGAAUUUCAAUUUGAUAUUUUCUGGAACCAUCUUUUGCUAGUUUCUUCUUGAAUUUUUUUAAUCUGGAGUUAUUUACAAUUUUCAUGGCUGAGUAUACUCUUUGGCCUUUGUUGGACCGAAAUCGUAUUUUGAUUACAAGUUUUGGGUCUUUCUUUCGUUGGAAUUUGAUGGGAUCUUUAGAAUUUUCGUAUGCCCUUCUACUGUUUGAAGAAAUGCCUAAACGAGAACUUGAAAUAAAGAGACAAAUCUCUUGUAUCUGUGCUCGUGGGGAGCAGCUCCUAUCAGUCCAACGCUGAUAGGAGCCCGUGAGUUCGGCGGAAAUCCAUCAAAGACCCAGAGAUUUGCUAGUAAUAGUAUACGUCAUAUGAGGCAUCUGCGGAUUUCUAAGUACUUCAAUUCUGUGGGCGCUCAAGAAGCGCCAAAUACCUGAUGCAGAUUUAGGAAUCGUGCAAUAUUUAUGUAAAUAAUUUUAAUUUGUGCUCUUAAAAAAAUCAGACUUGGGAUAAUGGUGUGCAAAAAUAUAGCUAAGACUGACUUCAAAAUCCUUUGUGUUAUGAUUUGACCAACUAGGUGUGAUGAAUUUGCCCAAAUUCGGAUUUGAGCAACCUCACAUGCUUGUUUGAGAUAAUUGUUUGUCUCUCAAUUUGGUGGCUCAGCUCAUGUUUUGCUGAGUUUUGAAAUUUUGUGGGGAAUUUUGGUUAGUUUGGGUACUUUUGCAGCACACUUAGGAACUAUGAUUCGAGGAAUUAGAAUCAUCCAUAUUUUCUGCUCUUGUGGGCACCUACCGUUUGGUGGGUAAUUGCUGAAUUUGAAAGUUUCAUGUCAAGCAAUCCAGCAAGUGGGAAUUUCCCUUUUUUCUUCUCUAUUCUUCUUUGUGGUGAAUCUGAUUUUUAGGGGUGUUAAAGAUGCUAACUGUGGGAGGUAGAAUGUGGAUACUUUUGGUUGUAUUUGUAUUGAUGAAUCAUGGAUUUUAUGCCUCAUUUACUCCAGCUGAUAGCUACUUGCUUGCCUUUGAAUCUUCCCAAAACGUCACCUUUGAUCUGGUUUUUUGGUCAAAUCGAGUCAAAAAGCUUGAUAAGACUCGACUUGAUAAGGCUCGAUUAAAGAUCGAGCCUUAUCGAGUCGAGUCUCGAGCCUAAAUGAAAUUCUUCGAGUCGAUCUUCGGGCUCGAUCGAGCUCGAGUCGAGCUCGAGCUUCUGUGUGUAUGAGUCGAGUCGAGCUCGAGUAUAGCGAUACUCGAGCUCGACUUGACUCGAUUACAUCCCUAGAUAAAAGUACACUUUCUUGGCAAGUCUUAUUUUGAUUAUUUGCAGAAUUUGACACAUGCAUAAUGUUGUCCUUGUUUUCCUCGUACUUAACUGGUGCCCAUUCAUUCAGCACUACUACUACCAAACCAUUAGGUUUUAUUAUUCCAUUUUAGUGCUAGUCUGAGUACUCAUUUAAAAAAAAAUGGAAAGAUUAAUUCAGAAUAUUUUGACAACAAUACUUUUUGAGGACUCAAGACCAUUUUUUUUUUCUUUUUCUUUUUUCUCUACGAGGAGUUGAGGUAUGGUGCUUUCCACAUAUAAUAUUGAUAGCUCCAAAAGCAGACUCCAUCGCCGCACUCUUUUUUUUGGUUUAUUGUUAUCAUUUAUACGUAUUCCUAUUUUUACUCUAAUCUAUACUAAAAGGGUGAUUCAGCAGGGUCACGAGAAGUCAAUUAGGAUUGAAUCAUCAUAAGAUCGUACGAAUGCAAGAGACGCUCACAUGGAUCUAAGAAAAAUCACAUUAAGUAGCAAUUUUUUAUGGAAUAUAAGAUUUGAACUUUUGAUCUCCCACCUCACGAAGACAUGUAUUGGCCACCACAAGAUCCUUUUCGGACCAAAUUAAUUCGCCUAAUUCACAAGGCACUAAAGCGCUUCCCUUUUUUUCCCCCCCCUAAUUGAACUUCAACACUCAUAGAGACCGGACCGUGGUUUAAUUCCAACAUAUACGGGAACAAAGAAUACUCAGAAAAAAAAAGAAAGAUUUCCAAUACAUCUAAUAUAACCAACUAUUACAACCCAUAUACUGGAAUAUAUAACUCAAGGGACAAAUUUAAUUAGUCUCCAUGAACUUUUAUUUGAGACUCCCAAACAGCAACACUUGAUGAGGGCCAAAACAUAUUUACUUCACAAGUAAUAUUUGAUGGGCAAAUGUUGUUCUCACUUCUCAUCUCAGAGGAUAAAGACAUAAAUGGAGAUCACAUACGAAUUUUACUGCAUCUGUUACCUGGAAACGAUGUUGAUAGGCUGAUCAUCUUUGUUUCAAAUUCGUAGGUAAUUGCUUGCCGUGUUACAAAUGAAUUGUCUUUGUUCAGAUUUAAGGGGUCGAUCAAACUCAACCUAUGGAACCCUCAUGGGGCAUGCCAAUCUGACAAGACGUGGCAUUAUCAUAUUUGGUAUAUCUGAACUCGAUAAGCUUGAAAUUUUAAGGAUCUAGAAUUAGAUAUCCAAUAAAUUUCAUCAUUGAAUGUGUGUUGGUUUCAAGGGCUUUACUUAUAAACGUGGUACUUUUAUUGGGGGACUAAUUUAGAAUCAUGAGGUGGUUAUAUUGUUAUUUCUCAUUUCUUAUUGAUCAAAAUGGCAAUUAAUUCUAG